GUUGCAAGGACAGAAGAACACACAGUCUGACCGCCAUGGCUUUCUCCAGGACCUUGGUCGUGUUCCUAUGUGUGAUCCUCGCCUCGCUCGCCUUCUUCAUGCAGGACGUCCUCGCUGCCAGGGCCCUCGCUGAAGCCAGCGGCCUGCCAGGUGAUUCGUACGGGGAUCGUCCGCCGGACCCUCCAGGUGGUGGUGGCUAUGGCGGUGCUGGUUCUGGUGGCGGCGGUUAUUAUCCUCCCGGGCAUCCUUAGGCGCUGGACCACGAUCACCAUGCUCCAACUAUAUACGGAAAUACUGCGAGCAUAAUUAAAUAAAAUAGUUAUCCAGCAUCCGUCGUGCACAACUCUAUAUAUCUUUCUGCAAAUUUCCCGUUUUCGAAUAAAGGCCACGGAGCUAGGUCUCUGUACGCUUGCCGUGUGCGUGGUCAGAGUCGAGAGGCCGUGGGUCGCGUCAACCAAGUUGUUCAGUCUUGUGUCUUGAGUCAUUGUGUGAGCUGUAACGCGAUGUCGGACGUUUAGUUCGGCCACUGCCUUGUAUUACAUCGAAUGAAAAAUAGGAGGAGGAUAUAUCAUAUGAAUAGCCCACGACGAUCGAGUUAUGUGGCAUAUA
Molecule: long non-coding RNA, 609 nt
Organism: Lolium rigidum
Lineage: Eukaryota; Viridiplantae; Streptophyta; Magnoliopsida; Poales; Poaceae
Exons: 2
Source: RefSeq, a predicted model, not a curated record